This 440-nucleotide ribosomal RNA is filed under the name uncultured bacterium. RNAcentral describes it as "partial 16S ribosomal RNA". It matches the Rfam family "Bacterial small subunit ribosomal RNA", at positions 338 to 795 of the family's 1533-position model. The record is from RNAcentral.
CCUACGGGAGGCUGCAGUGGGGAAUAUUGCACAAUGGGGGAAACCCUGAUGCAGCGACGCCGCGUGAGCGAUGAAGUAUUUCGGUAUGUAAAGCUCUAUCAGCAGGGAAGAAAAUGACGGUAACUGACUAAGAAGCCCCGGCUAACUACGAGCCAGCAGCCGCGGGAAUACGUAGGGGGCAAGCGUUAGCCGGAUUGACGGGGUGGAAAGGGAGCGUAGACGGUCCUGCAAGCCAGAUGUGAAAGCCCGGGGCUCAACCCCGGGACUGCAUUUGGAACUGUAAGGCUAGAGUGUCGGAGAGGCAGGCGGAAUUCCUAGUGUAGCGGUGAAAUGCGUAGAUAUUAGGAGGAACACCAGUGGCGAAGGCGGCCUGCUGGACGAUGACUGACGUUGAGGCUCGAAAGCGUGGGGAGCAAACAGGAUUAGAUACCCCUGUAGUC